RNAcentral lists this ribosomal RNA (492 nucleotides) under uncultured bacterium. Its description in RNAcentral is "partial 16S ribosomal RNA". It matches the Rfam family "Bacterial small subunit ribosomal RNA", at positions 29 to 507 of the family's 1533-position model. The record is from RNAcentral.
AGUGAACGCUGGCGGUAGGCCUAACACAUGCAAGUCGAACGGCAGCACAGUAAGAGCUUGCUCUUACGGGUGGCGAGUGGCGGACGGGUGAGGAAUACAUCGGAAUCUACUUUUUCGUGGGGGAUAACGUAGGGAAACUUACGCUAAUACCGCAUACGACCUACGGGUGAAAGCAGGGGAUCUUCGGACCUUGCGCGAUUGAAUGAGCCGAUGUCGGAUUAGCUAGUUGGCGGGGUAAAGGCCCACCAAGGCGACGAUCCGUAGCUGGUCUGAGAGGAUGAUCAGCCACCCUGGAACUGGGACACGGUCCAGACUCCUGCGGGAGGCAGCAGUGGGGAAUAUUGGACAAUGGGCGCAAGCCUGAUCCAGCCAUACCGCGUGGGUGAAGAAGGCCUUCGGGUUGUAAAGCCCUUUUGUUGGGAAAGAAAAGCAGCAGGUUAAUACCCCGCUGUUCUGACGGUACCCAAAGAAUAAGCACCGGCUAACUUCGUG